RNAcentral lists this long non-coding RNA (220 nucleotides) under Panax ginseng (ginseng). Its description in RNAcentral is "long non-coding RNA (PGIN_LNC014320)". Lineage: Eukaryota; Viridiplantae; Streptophyta; Magnoliopsida; Apiales; Araliaceae. The record is from RNAcentral.
AAGGCAGAAAUCGUAGUGUCAAGAUCUGAUCUCGGGAUCGUAGUGUCUGCACAAGCCGAAGCUGAAUCGUAGAGUGCAGAACUACGACCUAAGAAGAAGUGCUCACAAUGCCAAGGAUGAAUCGUAGAGCAUAUACGGUUCUCAACAAAUGAGCACUCCCAGAAUAUCCAAAGAAACGAAGCCUCUGGUUCAAGCUGCAAGCUACAUCCAAGGAAACCAG